RNAcentral lists this transfer RNA (73 nucleotides) under Anabaena cylindrica PCC 7122. It matches the Rfam family "tRNA". From Rfam's summary of the family: Transfer RNA (tRNA) molecules are approximately 80 nucleotides in length. Their secondary structure includes four short double-helical elements and three loops (D, anti-codon, and T loops). Lineage: Bacteria; Bacillati; Cyanobacteriota; Cyanophyceae; Nostocales; Nostocaceae. The record is from Rfam by way of RNAcentral.
GUCCGAGUAGCCAAGUGGUAAGGGCGUUGGUCUGCAAAACUAAUCAUCGUGGGUUCAAAUCCCACCUCGGACU